UACGUAGGGUGCAAGCGUUAAUCGGAAUUACUGGGCGUAAAGCGUGCGCAGGCGGUUUUGUAAGACUGUCGUGAAAUCCCCGGGCUUAACCUGGGAAUGGCGAUGGUGACUGCAAGGCUAGAGUUUGGCAGAGGGGGGUAGAAUUCCACGUGUAGCAGUGAAAUGCGUAGAGAUGUGGAAGAACACCGGUGGCGAAGGCGGCUCUCUGGACCGAUACUGACGCUGAGGCGCGAAAGCGUGGGGAGCAAACAGG
RNAcentral lists this ribosomal RNA (253 nucleotides) under uncultured bacterium. RNAcentral describes it as "partial 16S ribosomal RNA". It matches the Rfam family "Bacterial small subunit ribosomal RNA", at positions 524 to 776 of the family's 1533-position model. The record is from RNAcentral.